RNAcentral lists this ribosomal RNA (253 nucleotides) under uncultured bacterium. Its description in RNAcentral is "partial 16S ribosomal RNA". It matches the Rfam family "Bacterial small subunit ribosomal RNA", at positions 524 to 776 of the family's 1533-position model. The record is from RNAcentral.
UACGGGGGGGGCAAGCGUUGUUCGGAAUUACUGGGCGUAGAGGGCUCGUAGGCGGCCAACUAAGUCAGACGUGAAAUCCCUCGGCUUAACCGGGGAACUGCGUCUGAUACUGGAUGGCUUGAGUUUGGGAGAGGUGAGUGGAACUGCGAGUGUAGAGGUGAAAUUCGUAGAUAUUCGCAAGAACACCAGUGGCGAAGGCGGCUCACUGGCCCGGUACUGACGCUGAGGUGCGAAAGCGUGGGGAGCAAACAGG